GACGAACGCUGGCGGCGUGCCUAACACAUGCAAGUCGAGCGGAGACAUGCGACGGAGCGGAAGUUUUCGGAUGGAAGCAAAGAUGUAUGUUUUAGCGGCGGACGGGUGAGUAACGCGUGAGCAACCUGUCCCUCACAGGGGGAUAACACAGCGAAAGUUGUACUAAUACCGCAUGAGACCACAGCAGGGCAUCCUGCGGGGGUCAAAGGAGAAAUCCGGUGAGGGGUGGGCUCGCGUCCGAUUAGAUAGUUGGUGGGGUAACGGCCUACCAAGUCGACGAUCGGUAGCCGACCUGAGAGGGUGAUCGGCCACAUUGGGACUGAGACACGGCCCAAACUCCUACGGGAGGCAGCAGUGGGGAAUAUUGGGCAAUGGGGGGAACCCUGACCCAGCAACGCCGCGUGAGGGAAGAAGGUUUUCGGAUCGUAAACCUCUGUCCUUGGUGAAGAGGAAGAGACGGUAGCCAAGGAGGAAGCCCCGGCUAACUACGUGCCAGCAGCCGCCGUAAAAC
Molecule: ribosomal RNA, 511 nt
Filed under: uncultured bacterium
Lineage: Bacteria
Description: bacterial SSU rRNA
Rfam family: Bacterial small subunit ribosomal RNA
Source: RNAcentral